CACGUAGGGUGCGAGCGUUGUCCGGAAUUAUUGGGCGUAAAGAGCUCGUAGGCGGCUUGUCACGUCGGGUGUGAAAGCCCGGGGCUUAACCCCGGGUCUGCAUUCGAUACGGGCUAGCUAGAGUGUGGUAGGGGAGAUCGGAAUUCCUGGUGUAGCGGUGAAAUGCGCAGAUAUCAGGAGGAACACCGGUGGCGAAGGCGGACCUCUGGGCCAUUACUGACGCUGAGGAGCGAAAGCGUGGGGAGCGAACAGG
Molecule: ribosomal RNA, 253 nt
Filed under: uncultured bacterium
Lineage: Bacteria
Description: partial 16S ribosomal RNA
Rfam family: Bacterial small subunit ribosomal RNA
Source: RNAcentral